UGGAGGUUGGUUCAGUAACAGCAUACGGGUCUGUGAUUCCCGAGACAUGGGUGCGAUUCCCAUACCUCCAACCA
This 74-nucleotide transfer RNA is filed under the name Planctomycetota bacterium. RNAcentral's name for it is "Planctomycetes bacterium (soil metagenome) tRNA-His". It matches the Rfam family "tRNA". From Rfam's summary of the family: Transfer RNA (tRNA) molecules are approximately 80 nucleotides in length. Their secondary structure includes four short double-helical elements and three loops (D, anti-codon, and T loops). The record is from RNAcentral. Lineage: Bacteria; Pseudomonadati; Planctomycetota.